Molecule: long non-coding RNA, 1411 nt
Organism: Rhincodon typus (whale shark)
Lineage: Eukaryota; Metazoa; Chordata; Chondrichthyes; Orectolobiformes; Rhincodontidae
Exons: 2
Source: RefSeq, a predicted model, not a curated record
CUCUCUCUCUCUGCGCCGCGCUCUUAUAGGAUCCUUUGCUCUCUGUUUAGAAAUCGAAGGAAGUGACACUACACCUCUACAAACCGUUGGUCUGACCAAUUUUGUUUAUUGUAACUUGCUCAGAGGGCGUGAGCAUCACUGACCAGGCCCAACAUUUAUUGCCCAUCCCAGUGGGCAGCUAAUGAUUUCGGAUAUUGUGUUCAGUUCUGGGCACCUUAUUUAAGAAAGGACAUGAAAGAUCUAGAGAGAGAGAGAGUGCAAAGAUUAACUGGAAUUUUAGCUGCAUGGGAAGUUUGGAGACAUUGGGCUUAUACUCCUUGGAGCAGAGAAGAUGAAUAGGUGAUCUUUUUGAGGUGUUUCUACAGGGUAAAUUCUGCUUCCAUUAAUCGGUGAGGGUUCGCAGCUUCAAGCGUGCCAGAGAGAGAGCUAGGAGUGAGAUGAGGAGAAACUCCUUUGCUCGGAGAGUUGGUAGGAUUUGGAACGCGCUGCCCAGGAGAGUGGUGGGGGCUUGGAUUGUGCAGGAGGUUUCAGAGUGAGCUGUACAUACGUUUGUAAGCAACGAGUUUCGAGCGCUGCGGAGAGUGGGACGAGCUGGGCGGCUCUUUCAGGAGCCGGUACAGACACGGCGGGCAGAGUGGCCUCCCGUGACGCUCUGAUUCUGUAAGUGCGACCAUUCCCGACCUGACCCCCUGUUCCCAGUUGCGCCCCCCUUAGCCUCAACGACUUUGGAAAGCAGCCAAACAAAGCUUUUAGGGCGGUAAGUGCAUCGCCCUGAGAGUCUCCAAUCGAUUCUCGGAGAGGAUGGGUGGGGGGUUUGGUGGCGACGGUGGGGGUACUGUCUGGAAGUGGGAUUCCCAGUGGUCCGCAAUCCAGCCAGCGUAAUUCCGAUUUUGUCGCUAUCUCUGCAACACACUUUUUUUUUUCCUCCCCCUCGGUGUGUUUAUUCUUCAGAAUUGUAGCCACCUGAUCCAGACGAUAGAGGAUACAGGCACCAUUAUGAGGGAGGUGCGCGACUUGGAGGAGCAGAUCGAGUCGGAGGUGGGGAAGAAGACGGUGGGGAACCUGGAGAAGAUCCUGGCUGACAACAAAGCCAUCAAAGAGGAUAACAGCGUGCUGCAGGCCAAACUGAAAGAGUGCUGAUUCUGUGCUGGGGGGAGUUGGGGGAGCGGUGGGGAGGACACGGUGCCACGACCCCCCCACCGUCUUCGUUGGGGGCACCAGCCCGGCUGCCCCCCCCCCCCCCCCCCCCACAAGACGAGCCUCAAUGGCCCUCGCUCCGUCUUUUCAGUCGCUUUUUCUCCUCCCCGCCCACCUCCUGUUCCCUGUCGGUCUCUCGUUCCCUCCAUCUCGCUCUCGAUCGAUGUGUGUAACAGUCCCGAGACGGAACAAAAUAAAGUCCUCCUGAACUUGC